This 483-nucleotide long non-coding RNA is filed under the name Coffea arabica (coffee). Its description in RNAcentral is "long non-coding RNA (CARA_LNC003782)". Lineage: Eukaryota; Viridiplantae; Streptophyta; Magnoliopsida; Gentianales; Rubiaceae. The record is from RNAcentral.
GUUAAUCCAGUAACUAAUGAUCUCAUUCCAAAAGGAAAAACCUCUGAUGAAAAAGCAUUAACUGGCUAAGUCUCUGCAAUCUACUCUUCCUGAAUCCAAAUCUGCAACAACUCAAAUUCUAUUCAUCUUCCAGGAGAUUACAGCUUUAACACAAGCUCAGCUACAAAUGAAACUUCUGUUUGCCAAAAGAUCUGAAUCACAAUCAGUGCCUUCGGAAAUUUCAGACAAUAACUAUGCUAGGCACCUACAGAACAGAGAACACAACCUUCAAAUGCGUGCUUCUGUGUCUCAGAGACAGAGAGAGAGAGAUAUUAAAGCAGAAAAAAUGAAAACAAGCAAGCCUUGAAGAAUCACUUAAGAUUACUGAGAGGAAUCAGUCUUUGGAGCAGGAUGAUGACUUAUAACCAUGUUUCACCAUCGCGGGCUGCGGUCACAUCGGGGUUGCAGUCGCAUCGCGGUCACAGUUGUUUUACAUCUAUCACG